RNAcentral lists this ribosomal RNA (438 nucleotides) under uncultured bacterium. RNAcentral describes it as "bacterial SSU rRNA". It matches the Rfam family "Bacterial small subunit ribosomal RNA", at positions 68 to 518 of the family's 1533-position model. The record is from RNAcentral.
UGGAGAUGCUUGCAUCAAAGAAUCUGUGGCAGCUAGUGGCGGACGGGUGAGUAACGUGUGGAUAACCUGGUCCAUCCAGGGGGACAGCAGCUGGAAACGGCUGAUAAUACCGCAUAAGCGCACACUAUCGCAUGAUAGAGUGUGAAAAGAGAUAUCGGGAUGGAAUGGAUCCGCAUCUGAUUAGCCAGUUGCGGGUAGAAGCCCACCAAAGCGACGAUCAGUAGCCGGCCUGAGAGGGCGGACGGCCACAUUGGGACUGAGACACGGCCCAGACUCCUACGGGAGGCAGCAGUGGGGGAUAUUGCACAAUGGGGGGAACCCUGAUGCAGCGACGCCGCGUGGGUGAAGAAGUAUUUCGGUAUGUAAAGCCCUAUCAGCAGGGAAGAUAAUGACGGUACCUGAGUAAGAAGCCCCGGCUAACUACGUGCCAGCCGCUGC